Long non-coding RNA from Coregonus clupeaformis (lake whitefish), 1164 nucleotides. RefSeq lists it as uncharacterized. The transcript has 3 exons. The record is from RefSeq and is a predicted model, not a curated record. NCBI's taxonomy places the organism in Eukaryota, Metazoa, Chordata, Actinopteri, Salmoniformes, Salmonidae.
CUCACACACACACACACACACACAGUCUGUAAAUAUGUAAAUACAUUCUAAGAUAUCUAGGCCUACAUCUCUCUAGAGUGCAGUAAAAAAUGUUUAUCAUUAAUAUUAUCAUCAACAACUGACUCAAUUCAGAAACACACACAAACACACACGUAUGCACACCCUCUCUCUUUCUCUCCUUUUCUGUAGUCUCUGGUAGCCAAGGCGUUGGGUGGUGGUCAGAGUGAAGAGGAUGGGGGGAGGAUUCAGAGGAAAGGAGAGCAGGUCCACCACCCUGUCCAGUGUGGUGUCUGUGGCCGCUCAAAAGCACAAACACCAGUGAAUGGAGACAGCACCUGGUUUUGUUCUCUGCGCCCCAGCACUGCCUGUUCACCGGCCCCAAGCACUGCCUCUGCCCCCAGUAUUGACUGGUGAUCGGCCCCCAGCCCAUCUCCCGUACCGAGAUGCAGUGCAGAAUUAGAAACAAUCUCCAUGCAGGACCUGGGAAGCUCUAUCCUGUGCCCACCUCUAAGACCUACUCCACUGGCUUGUUCCUCAGCGAUGCCACAGAGCAGCAGCAGUAGUGGCAGGGGUGUGAGGAGAAGGGAGAAAAGAGCUGCAGACUCAGCCCUUGACACAUCACUCACAAAGGCAUUGCAAAUGAUUGAAGCCAUAUCUCAAGAUCUGGGGAACGUCAUGCACCGACCACCAGCUUGUCCCGGACGGUCCUGGCACCUAUAGCUGAUUUCAUGGAUGAACUCUUGCCAAAACUCCGGGAGGAAUUCGAUCACCAGCUGCAUGAGUUCAUGCAUGACUUCACGAAGAGGACAUGGACCGAACGACUGGGACCACAGUGAAAUUAACUUGUUCUGUUGUUGUUCAGACAUCUCAGGAGUCAGACACUAGACACUUUCAUUUUAGUCCAUUGACACUUUUGUUAUCUACAUGUCUGUUCAUAAGACAUGGUUCUACUAUUGAUCAGUAAUAUUUAUAUUGCUCAUAAAUAUUUGUAUCUACACUCUUGACAUUUUAUUUUUGAACCUUUUGUUUACAUGUCUGUUCAUAGCAGACACUGUUGUACUAUUGUUCAGAAAUAUUUGUAACUACACUCUGACACUUACAUUUUAUUCCAUAGAAACUUGUUUACAUGUCAGUUCUCAGCAGACACUUUUGUAUUGUGGUUUA